AAGACUAUAGACCUGCGGAGUACCUGCGGAAGGAUCAUUGUCGAUAUAUUCGAGGGAGACCUCGUUCAAUAUAUAACAAACACCUCGUGCACCUCUACGUGAAAGGAAGUUGUAAAAGGCUUCCGUUCCGUAUUUUUCUUAUAAAUGCCUUCUGUCGUUUAACGCGUGUUAUUUUGAUAUAAUUUGAAACACAACUUUUAACAACGGAUCUCU
This 213-nucleotide unclassified non-coding RNA is filed under the name soil metagenome. Its description in RNAcentral is "partial contains 5.8S ribosomal RNA, internal transcribed spacer 2, and large subunit ribosomal RNA". The record is from RNAcentral.